RNAcentral lists this ribosomal RNA (465 nucleotides) under Vreelandella stevensii. RNAcentral's name for it is "partial 16S ribosomal RNA". It matches the Rfam family "Bacterial small subunit ribosomal RNA", at positions 338 to 795 of the family's 1533-position model. Lineage: Bacteria; Pseudomonadati; Pseudomonadota; Gammaproteobacteria; Oceanospirillales; Halomonadaceae. The record is from RNAcentral.
CCUACGGGUGGCUGCAGUGGGGAAUAUUGGACAAUGGGCGAAAGCCUGAUCCAGCCAUGCCGCGUGUGUGAAGAAGGCCUUCGGGUUGUAAAGCACUUUCAGUGGGGAAGAAAGCCUUGGGGCUAAUACCCUCGAGGAAGGACAUCACCCACAGAAGAAGCACCGGCUAACUCCGUGCCUGCAGCCGCGGUAAUACGGAGGGUGCGAGCGUUAAUCGGAAUUACUGGGCGUAAAGCGCGCGUAGGCGGUCUGAUAAGCCGGUUGUGAAAGCCCCGGGCUCAACCUGGGAACGGCAUCCGGAACUGUCAGGCUAGAGUGCAGGAGAGGAAGGUAGAAUUCCCGGUGUAGCGGUGAAAUGCGUAGAGAUCGGGAGGAAUACCAGUGGCGAAGGCGGCCUUCUGGACUGACACUGACGCUGAGGUGCGAAAGCGUGGGUAGCAAACAGGAUUAGAUACCCCAGUAGUC